This 361-nucleotide ribosomal RNA is filed under the name Salmonella enterica. Its description in RNAcentral is "bacterial SSU rRNA". It matches the Rfam family "Bacterial small subunit ribosomal RNA", at positions 614 to 974 of the family's 1533-position model. The record is from RNAcentral. Lineage: Bacteria; Pseudomonadati; Pseudomonadota; Gammaproteobacteria; Enterobacterales; Enterobacteriaceae.
CUGGGAACUGCAUUCGAAACUGGCAGGCUUGAGUCUUGUAGAGGGGGGUAGAAUUCCAGGUGUAGCGGUGAAAUGCGUAGAGAUCUGGAGGAAUACCGGUGGCGAAGGCGGCCCCCUGGACAAAGACUGACGCUCAGGUGCGAAAGCGUGGGGAGCAAACAGGAUUAGAUACCCUGGUAGUCCACGCCGUAAACGAUGUCUACUUGGAGGUUGUGCCCUUGAGGCGUGGCUUCCGGAGCUAACGCGUUAAGUAGACCGCCUGGGGAGUACGGCCGCAAGGUUAAAACUCAAAUGAAUUGACGGGGGCCCGCACAAGCGGUGGAGCAUGUGGUUUAAUUCGAUGCAACGCGAAGAACCUUAC